Long non-coding RNA from Athalia rosae (coleseed sawfly), 351 nucleotides. RefSeq lists it as uncharacterized. The record is from RefSeq and is a predicted model, not a curated record. The transcript has 3 exons. NCBI's taxonomy places the organism in Eukaryota, Metazoa, Arthropoda, Insecta, Hymenoptera, Athaliidae.
GGUUACUGCUGCGCCAUAUGUUUUGUUCACCAUGAGUCCAGAGUCCAGUUUUGAUUGAGCAGUCACUCGGGAAGGAGUGUUCCGUUCGAUCUACAUAUUUUAAAAAAUUGCUUGACAAUCGGUAGCUACUGUAAGACCUAUAUCAUUGGAAAUUUCGUGAACUCCGUAACUCGAAGAUUUGUCCACGAGCACUGACUUUCAAUCAGUCAUCACGGUGCCUAGUUCAUCGCAGUACUUAUUCAACUUCCAAUCACGAAGGGCAGGAGUUACAUGGCAUCGCACAAUUCGUUUGCAGGUACUCGGAGAUGCUGUCGCCGCAUUUAUGACCCCCUGGACUUCCCCUGUUCAUCA